UACGUAGGGUGCGAGCGUUGUCCGGAAUUAUUGGGCGUAAAGAGCUUGUAGGUGGUUUGUCGCGUCUGCUGUGAAAAUCCGAGGCUCAACCUCGGACUUGCAGUGGGUACGGGCAGACUAGAGUGGUGGUAGGGGAGACUGGAAUUCCGAGUGUAGCGGUGAAAUGCGUAGAUGUUCGGAGGAACACCAGUGGCGAAAGCGACUUUCUGGGACGUUCCUAGACGCUGAGGUUCGAAAGCUCGGGGAGCAAACAGG
Molecule: ribosomal RNA, 255 nt
Filed under: uncultured bacterium
Lineage: Bacteria
Description: partial 16S ribosomal RNA
Rfam family: Bacterial small subunit ribosomal RNA
Source: RNAcentral